Oncorhynchus keta (chum salmon) is the source of this 1940-nucleotide long non-coding RNA. RefSeq lists it as uncharacterized. The transcript is spliced from 3 exons. The record is from RefSeq and is a predicted model, not a curated record. Lineage: Eukaryota; Metazoa; Chordata; Actinopteri; Salmoniformes; Salmonidae.
GAGGUGUAAUGUCCACAAGACAGGGAUGUGUAAGGUCCACUAAAUAGGGAUGUGUAAGGUCCACUAGACAGGGAUGUGUAAGGUCCACUAGACAGGGAUGUGUAAGGUCCACUAGAUAGGGAUGUGUAAGGUCCACUAGAUAGGGAGGUGUAAGGUCCACUAGACAGGGAUGUGUAAGGUCCACUAGACAGGGAUGUGUAAGGUCCACGAGACAGGGAUGUGUAAGGUCCACUAGAUAGGGAGGUAUAAGGUCCACUAGACAGGGAUGUGUAAGGUCCACUAGACAGGAAUGUGUAAAGUCCACUAGACAGGGAUGUGUAAGGUCCACUAGACAGGGAUGUGUAAGGUCCACUAGACAGGGAUGUGUAAGGUCCACUAGAUAGGGAGGUGUAAAGUCCACUAGACAGGGAUGUGUAAGGUCCACUAGAUAGGGAAGGCUUAAGGUCCACUAGAUAGGGAGGUGUAAUGUCCACUAGACAGGGAUGUGUAAGGUCCACUAGAUAGGGAGGUGUAAGGUCCACUAGAUAGGGAUGUGUAAGGUCCACUAGAUAGGGAUGUGUAAGGUCCACUAGAUAGGGAUGUGUAAUGUCCACUAGAUAGGGAUGUGUAAGGUCCACUAGAUAGGGAUGUGUAAGGUCCACUAGAUAGGGAUGUGUAAGGUCCACUAGAUAGGGAUGUGUAAGGUCCACUAGAUAGGAAUGUGUACUGUCCACUAGAUAGGGAGGUGUAAUGUCCUCUCGACAGGGAAGGUGUAAUGUCCAAUAAACAGGGAAGGCUUAAGGUCCACUAGAUAGGGAGGUGUAAUGUCCAUUAGAUAGGGAUGUGUAAGGUCCACUAGACAGGGAAGGCUUAAGGUCCACUAGAUAGGGAGGUGUAAUGUCCAUUAGACAGGGAAGGCUUAAGGUCCACUAGAUAGGGAUGUGUACUGUCCACUAGAUAGGGAGGUGUAAUGUCCUCUCGACAGGGAAGGUGUAAUGUCCAAUAAACAGGGAAGGCUUAAGGUCCACUAGACAGGGAGGUGUAAUGUCCAUUAGACAGGGAAGGCUUAAGGUCCACUAGAUAGGUAUGUAAUGUCCACUAGACAGGGAAGGUGUAAUGUCCACUAGACAGGGAAGGUGUAAUGUCCACUAGACAGGGAAGGUGUAAUGUCCACUAGACAGGGAAGGCUUAAAGUCCACUAGAUAGGUAUGUAAUGUCCACUAGACAGGGAAGGUGUAAUGUCCACUAGACAGGGAAGGCUUAAGGUCCACUAGAUAGGUAUGUAAUGUCCACUAGAUAGGGAAGGCUUAAGGUCCACUAGAUAGGGAUGUGUAAGGUCCACUAGAUAGGGAUGUGUAAGGUCCACUAGAUAGGGAUGUGUAAGGUCCACUAGAUAGGGAGGUGUAAUGUCCACAAGACAGGAAAGGCUAAGGUCCACUAGAUAGGGAGGUGUAAUGUCCACAAGACAGGGAAGGCUUAAGGUCCACUAGAUAGGGAGGUGUAUUGUCCAAUAAACAGGGAAGGCUUAAGGUCCACUAGAUAGGGAGGUGUAAUGUCCACUAGACAGGGAAGGCUUAAGGUCCACUAGAUAGGGAUGUGUACUGUCCACUAGAUAGGGAGGUGUAAUGUCCUCUCGACAGGGAAGGUGUAAUGUCCAAUAAACAGGGAAGGCUUAAGGUCCACUAGACAGGGAGGUGUAAUGUCCAUUAGACAGGGAAGGCUUAAGGUCCACUAGAUAGGUAUGUAAUGUCCACUAGACAGGGAAGGUGUAAUGUCCACUAGACAGGGAAGGCUUAAGGUCCACUAGAUAGGUAUGUAAUGUCCACUAGAUAGGGAGGUGUAAUGUCCACUAGACAGGGAAGGCUUAAGGUCCACUAGACAGGGAAGGCUUAAGGUCCACUAGACAGGGAGGUGUAAUAUCCACUAGAUAGGGAGGUGUAAUGUCCACUAGACAGGGAAGG